RNAcentral lists this small nuclear RNA (161 nucleotides) under Medicago truncatula (barrel medic). RNAcentral's name for it is "sRNA gene640". It matches the Rfam family "U1 spliceosomal RNA". Rfam says of the family: U1 is a small nuclear RNA (snRNA) component of the spliceosome (involved in pre-mRNA splicing). Its 5' end forms complementary base pairs with the 5' splice junction, thus defining the 5' donor site of an intron. The record is from Rfam by way of RNAcentral. Lineage: Eukaryota; Viridiplantae; Streptophyta; Magnoliopsida; Fabales; Fabaceae.
AUACUUACCUGGAUGGGGUCAAUGGAUGAUCAAAAAGGUCCAUGGCCUAGGUUGGUGACCUCCAUUGCACUUAGGAGGGGUGCUCGCCUAAGGUGUUCUCAAGUAGAACAACCUACAUCAUAAUUUGUUGCUGUGGGGGCCUGCGUUCGCGCGGCCCCCUU